UACGUAGGGGGCAAGCGUUGUCCGGAAUCAUUGGGCGUAAAGCGCGUGUAGGUGGCUCGAUAAGUCUGCUGUGAAAGUCCAAGGCUCAACCUUGGGAUGCCGGUGGAUACUGUCGAGCUCGAGUCCGGAAGAGGAGUGUGGAAUUCCGGGUGUAGCGGUGAAAUGCGUAGAUAUCCGGAGGAACACCGGUGGCGAAGGCGGCUUCCUGGACCGAUACUGACGCUGAGGCGCGAAAGCUAGGGGAGCAAACGGG
RNAcentral lists this ribosomal RNA (253 nucleotides) under uncultured bacterium. RNAcentral describes it as "partial 16S ribosomal RNA". It matches the Rfam family "Bacterial small subunit ribosomal RNA", at positions 524 to 776 of the family's 1533-position model. The record is from RNAcentral.